CACCCUUCGCGCCCGAAUACGUGCGUGCGUAGCCUCGCUAGCGUGCCUGGGCUGUGCCCCUGGGACCAGGGGGCGCCAUCUUGACUCAUGGUCCAAGAUGGCGACCUGGAACGCUGAGCGAGAGAAUCAAGACGGGAAGAGACUCAUGAGAGCCUAUAGAAUGGGCGGGGGACCUAGGAGAGGGACGAUAAUUGCGAAGACCAGAGGGCCGGAAGAAGAAACAUUCUAAGCGCAUCAAGAAUUCUGGCCGACUCCCCACAGCCCCGGGUUCCCAUGGCAACCGCCUGGCGCUUGAUGGUUACAUCUUUCAGCACAAGCGUGGAAAGAUUUGUGUAUUCGGCUAUUUUGUCAUCCGCAUAUGAUAGCACAGGACAUGCUCUGCACUGUAAACUCUCAGACCUUCCCGAUAUUUGUAACUUUGGCUGCUGCCACUGGCCCCGGCUCCAAACCUUCAGUGUCCUGUAUUUUGACAUUUCUUUGUGUCCGUCUCUACCCACUUCAUUCUCCCACUCCUACCCCUUUACACACACCACAUCAGAGCUUUUUUGUGGGGACUGAGUAAAAGACCUUUAGGAAAUUUCAGGUAUCGAUUCCUUCUAUGCAUGCAGAGUAGAUAUGAACAGCAAAAAUAAAAAAUAAAAAAAUUGAAGCAGAAAUAGUCUGCCUGAGAGAUUUUAUGUGGAUACUGCUUGAAUUAAAAGCCUGCCUCAUUCAUUUAAAUUUUCUAAAGAUAUUCUUCUAGGUAUUGUAUGCAUUGCAACAUUAAAAUGUUCAUUAAUAGAGAAAUGAAUAAAUACAGGG
This 801-nucleotide long non-coding RNA is filed under the name Homo sapiens (human). RNAcentral describes it as "HSALNT0031404". Lineage: Eukaryota; Metazoa; Chordata; Mammalia; Primates; Hominidae. The record is from RNAcentral.